Molecule: ribosomal RNA, 557 nt
Filed under: uncultured bacterium
Lineage: Bacteria
Description: partial 16S ribosomal RNA
Rfam family: Bacterial small subunit ribosomal RNA
Source: RNAcentral
UGGGGAAUUUUGGACAAUGGGCGAAAGCCUGAUCCAGCAAUGCCGCGUGUGUGAAGAAGGCCUUCGGGUUGUAAAGCACUUUUGUCCGGAAAGAAAUCCUUGGCUCUAAUACAGUCGGGGGAUGACGGUACCGGAAGAAUAAGCACCGGCUAACUACGUGCCAGCAGCCGCGGUAAUACGUAGGGUGCAAGCGUUAAUCGGAAUUACUGGGCGUAAAGCGUGCGCAGGCGGUUUGCUAAGACCGAUGUGAAAUCCCCGGGCUCAACCUGGGAACUGCAUUGGUGACUGGCAGGCUAGAGUAUGGCAGAGGGGGGUAGAAUUCCACGUGUAGCAGUGAAAUGCGUAGAGAUGUGGAGGAAUACCGAUGGCGAAGGCAGCCCCCUGGGCCAAUACUGACGCUCAUGCACGAAAGGCGUGGGGAGCAAACAGGAUUAGAUACCCUGGUAGUCCACGCCCUAAACGAUGUCAACUAGUUGUUGGGGAUUCAUUUCCUUAGUAACGUACUAACGCGUGAAGUUGACCGCCUGGGGAGUACGGUCGCAAGACUGAAACUUAAA